UCCCUGGUGGCCUAGUGGUUUAGGGUUCGGCAUUGCCAUUGCUGUGGCUUAGUUUCAAUUCCUGGCCUGGGAA
Molecule: transfer RNA, 73 nt
Filed under: Sus scrofa (pig)
Lineage: Eukaryota; Metazoa; Chordata; Mammalia; Artiodactyla; Suidae
Rfam family: tRNA
About the family: Transfer RNA (tRNA) molecules are approximately 80 nucleotides in length. Their secondary structure includes four short double-helical elements and three loops (D, anti-codon, and T loops). Further hydrogen bonds mediate the characteristic L-shaped molecular structure. tRNAs have two regions of fundamental functional importance: the anti-codon, which is responsible for specific mRNA codon recognition, and the 3' end, to which the tRNAs corresponding amino acid is attached (by aminoacyl-tRNA synthetases). tRNAs cope with the degeneracy of the genetic code in two manners: having more than one tRNA (with a specific anti-codon) for a particular amino acid; and 'wobble' base-pairing, i.e. permitting non-standard base-pairing at the 3rd anti-codon position.
Source: Rfam by way of RNAcentral